This 1372-nucleotide ribosomal RNA is filed under the name uncultured bacterium. RNAcentral describes it as "bacterial SSU rRNA". It matches the Rfam family "Bacterial small subunit ribosomal RNA". The record is from RNAcentral.
UUAGAGUUUGAUCCUGGCUCAGAACGAACGCUGGCGGCGUGGAUAAGACAUGCAAGUCGAACGAGAGAAUUGCUAGCUUGCUAAUAAUUCUCUAGUGGCGCACGGGUGAGUAACACGUGAGUAACCUGCCCCCGAGAGCGGGAUAGCCCUGGGAAACUGGGAUUAAUACCGCAUAGUAUCGAAAGAUUAAAGCAGCAAUGCGCUUGGGGAUGGGCUCGCGGCCUAUUAGUUAGUUGGUGAGGUAACGGCUCACCAAGGCGAUGACGGGUAGCCGGUCUGAGAGGAUGUCCGGCCACACUGGAACUGAGACACGGUCCAGACACCUACGGGUGGCAGCAGUCGAGAAUCAUUCACAAUGGGGGAAACCCUGAUGGUGUGACGCCGCGUGGGGGAAUGAAGGUCUUCGGAUUGUAAACCCCUGUCAUGUGGGAGCAAAUUAAAAAGAUAGUACCACAAGAGGAAGAGACGGCUAACUCUGUGCCAGCAGCCGCGGUAAUACAGAGGUCUCAAGCGUUGUUCGGAAUCACUGGGCGUAAAGCGUGCGUAGGCUGUUUCGUAAGUCGUGUGUGAAAGGCGCGGGCUCAACCCGCGGACGGCACAUGAUACUGCGAGACUAGAGUAAUGGAGGGGGAACCGGAAUUCUCGGUGUAGCAGUGAAAUGCGUAGAUAUCGAGAGGAACACUCGUGGCGAAGGCGGGUUCCUGGACAUUAACUGACGCUGAGGCACGAAGGCCAGGGGAGCGAAAGGGAUUAGAUACCCCUGUAGUCCUGGCAGUAAACGGUGCACGCUUGGUGUGCGGGGAAUCGACCCCCUGCGUGCCGGAGCUAACGCGUUAAGCGUGCCGCCUGGGGAGUACGGUCGCAAGAUUAAAACUCAAAGAAAUUGACGGGGACCCGCACAAGCGGUGGAGUAUGUGGCUUAAUUCGAUGCAACGCGAAGAACCUUACCUGGGCUUGACAUGUAAUGAACAACAUGUGAAAGCAUGCGACUCUUCGGAGGCGUUACACAGGUGCUGCAUGGCCGUCGUCAGCUCGUGUCGUGAGAUGUUUGGUUAAGUCCAGCAACGAGCGCAACCACUGUUGCCAGUUACCAGCACGUGAAGGUGGGGACUCUGGCGAGACUGCCCAGAUCAACUGGGAGGAAGGUGGGGACGACGUCAGGUCAGUAUGGCCCUUAUGCCCAGGGCUGCACACGUACUACAAUGCCCAGUACAGAGGGGGCCGAAGCCGCGAGGCGGAGGAAAUCCUGAAAACUGGGCCCAGUUCGGACUGUAGGCUGCAACCCGCCUACACGAAGCCGGAAUCGCUAGUAAUGGCGCAUCAGCUACGGCGCCGUGAAUACGUUCCCGGGUCUUGCACUCACCGCCCGUCA